This 4285-nucleotide long non-coding RNA is filed under the name Nicotiana benthamiana. RNAcentral's name for it is "long non-coding RNA (NBEN_LNC007042)". Lineage: Eukaryota; Viridiplantae; Streptophyta; Magnoliopsida; Solanales; Solanaceae. The record is from RNAcentral.
CCAAUUGAUCUUGAUCUUCUGUUAGCCACUCUCCAAAGCUUCUCAUCAGCUGUAUACGGAAAAUGGCCGGCGGAGGAGACCUUUCUCAUGGUGGAGACUUCAGAGCUAAGGUCUGGAGUAUGAGUGGUGGGCCCUACUGUAGGCCCAAGCAUUGGCAGCGGAAUACCGCUAUUGCUCUUGCCGGAAUCGUACUCAUCUGCAUUCCUGUGGCUUUGAAAUCCGCCGAGCUUGAGGUCAGUUUAGCCAACUCUAUACCACCCCCUCCCCCCAACAAAUCUGAAAUGUAUUGUUAGCUGGUUGGAAAUUGCCGGGACGAUUGAUUUGUGUUACUUUUCAUAAAUUUGAUAAGCUUCUCAUCUUGAGUUUUAGCUUUAGUCUUUUUAGGGCAGAAGGCAAGUAUUAUAUUUUGUGCUUUGGCACAACUAUGAAUAUGAUUUAGUUAUAUGGAAACGUGGGAUGAUUUAGUUAUUUGAAAUGUGGAUCAAUAUUGGCUGGUGCUGGCGGGAAUUAGAAAUGCAGGGUCAAAACCCGAUCAAAAGUUGAUUGCUCAAUCUCAGGGCCUUGAUGUUAAAUUAACAGGGUUCUUGGAUUGAUUGGUCAAACUAUGGAUAAUCCUGCCUCGGGAAUUACCUUUAUUUUACCUUUUAGUUCAUUCUAAUACCAACCUUUUAGCACCUAAGUGGUGUUGUCAACAGUGUUAUCAAAGGCGAAAAGCACAAAAAAGCUCUGAGGUCCGUUGCGGCUUUAAGCCCAAAGCGCUUAUAAAGUGUGGGCUUUAAUAAAAAAAGGCGCAACGGGAGAAAAAGAAAAGUAUGUAUCUAUAGUCUAAGACUAAUAAUUAUAAGCAUGAAUAACAAAUAUAUGAACAAAGACAUUGGAAAAAUUAAAGAUAAAGUGAAAUUUUAAUUGUUUAAUGUUGCCUUUUCAUGAUUACACUCAUUGGCAAGUAAAAGUAUACCUAAGAGCCUUGAUGCAAUACCAAAGUGCCCACAAAGCAAGACGAAGUGCUCAACAUGUUUUGAGCCUCGCUUUAGGGCUUAAACACGCUUUAAGGGCACCUUUGACAACACUGGCUAUCAAAGGCUUAUAUAAGACGCGUUUAAGCUCUAUUUCUCAUAAAAGCUCAAAGAAUGGUGCCUUGCCUUGCUUAAUCAGUGUGGGAAAGGAACUAAGAUGUGUACCUCAUUACCCCUGAGUUUUAUCUUGGAUCAAGCCGUACUAAACUAUAAAUAUAAUAGGCGAAGAAUAUAUUAAUCAUUAGGAACACACCUUGAAUGAAUUUAUUACUAUUUUCUUGCAUUACAUAUAUAUUUUUACUUUUUUUUAUUCAUUGUGUCUUUUUUAACUAAAACCCACACUUUAUUUGUGCCUUGCACAAUAAGCUCCGAUAGACAUAGAGCGCUUUUUAGAGCUUUUCGCCUUUGACAAUACUGUACCUAAGGGUAUGACCUAGUGGUCAAUGAAGCGGGUAAGAACCAUGAGGUCUUAGGUUCAAAUCCCGCAGAGGCAAAAAAUAUUAUGUGAUUUCUUCCCAUCCAUCCAAGCGUUACUGGAUAGAGUUACGUGGUAGUUGUUGUGCUGAGGGAGGUGGAAAUAUCACGUGGAAUUAGUUGAGGUACGUGCAUGAUGGCCCAUAUAUCACGGUUAUUAAAAGAAAAUAAAAAUACCAGCCUUUUGAAACUAGGUGUAACUCUAGUGCCAAAAAUUGGGUAUCUAUCUCAACUCUUAAACCCCCCUUUCUAUACCCAUAGCCUUAUCUGCUAAGGAAUAAAAAAUGUCUUUACAAGUCUAUGAGAAGUGUGUAUGACUAUAUCUACUUCCAUAGAUGACCAAAUACAUAGCCAACCCCUUAAACUUGUCACUAUUUUCAAUUAAACACCUCAACUGCAGCAGUGACCUAUUACACACUCGAACUAUAUUUAAAUUGUGCCUAUUGAGCACUAUUGGAAUAUAGUUCGAGUGUCUAAUAGGUCACUGCUGUAAUUGAGGCGUCUAAAUGGAAAAUAGUGGCAAGUUUAAGGGGUUGGCUAUGUAUUUGGCCUUCAUAGAUCUAUUUUACAUGUAAUUAAGAUUUAUAUAACGGGUAAACUUUGGUUCUUGAUCAUUCUGAUUAUUAUUUCUAAGGAAAUAGCAGAAAUCACAAAAUUUGGUAGUAAUAGAAACUGAUAGUGCUAGGAUUACAUUUCGUGGCUCUAAUCCAAUAUUCUCUUACCUGGAGUCUUCUUCCGUGGAAAAUAUCAUGUUGGCUAAGAUAAGUACUUUACUUAUCUUUCACUUCAGGCUGCGUUUGCUUGGAUAUCGGAAAUGCUCAGUAAUUUUAUUGUGUUAAAUGAGCAGGAAAAGUCUAGCAAGAAAGUCAAAUUAAGCAGACUUGACAUGGUCAUGGUGAAACAUUUUUAAUCAGUGUUCCCAUUUUUUUGCUCCUUCCAUAGGAUACCUAAUUCGUCUACUUAGGUCUUGGAUCUUCGAGCAAUUAGAAAAUAAUAGAAUUCAAGCUGAAUACACAUAUAGUUUGUGAACUCAAUAGUACAAGUGUGUCAAUCCUGGCUAAAGCCAUUCACAUUCUCUAACUUUUGGUGUGACAAAGGCUUAAGUGUCGGAGAAAAGCCAAGCCAUUCAGAGUUGGUCUCCUAUGAUAAAGGCAACAAGAAGGUGCAGCUUCCAUUCUAUUGAUGUGGAAUCACAUCAAACACAAUUAGUGAAUUUUCUGCCGUGUGGACAAUUUUUAUUUCCUUCCCAAAGUGUCAGUUUAUUUUCUGUUGUCUUACAUAUGAGCUCUCACUCUUAAAGAAUUAUUGAUGUCUAAGUUGCUAUCUAUCAUAAAUAUAUAACUUUCGAAAAAGAACAUUUUACUUAUAAAAAAUACUGUAGUAGUUCUUUCGAAUACUCUAGUUAUGCUCUGAACACACAGAUUUUAGAAAUUGUCCCUCUCAAACUUAUAGCUCCCACCCGCAGAUGGGGUAACUCUGGGAAACUGUUGAUCCUUCUAGGCGAAAAGGAGAGGAAGGGGAGGUUGCUUGUUGAUGAGCCUUUUUGUCCUCUUUCUUACUGUUCUCCCUGUCUUGCCUUUUCCUUUCCUUGUUAUCUAUCAUCUUGGCUUUGUUCCUUGACAAAAAGGUCAGACCUCUAAUUUGGUAUUCUUGUUAGGACUUUAGGUAAAGUGAAUAUAUAAUCAUUGCUCUAACAUAGGUCUGUUUUAAGCAAUUUCAAAAGAGUACAAUGCAAAAAAAAGAUAACUACUUGAAACAUUUGGUAUGAGGAAAGAAGAUUUUCCUUACCAAUGUAUAAGCUUUUUAUCAAGUUUGAAGCCUCAGUGCAGAGCUGGCAAUGAAAAAAAAAGAACUACUUGAAACAUUUGGUAUGAGGAAAGAAGAUUUUCCUAACCAAUGUAUCAGCUUUUUAUCAAGUUUGAAGCCUCAGUUCAGAGCUGAUAUGGAGUCUAUUUUAUCUAGUAGAUGGUGGCCUUUUCCAUUUCAAAGACUAAUUGAUAUUUUCCAUUUCAAAGACUAAUUGAUAUUUUCUAGAAUAGUGUUUAGUGGUCCUUUUUCCUUUUGUCUACCUUUGUAUUUAUUUUGUUAUCAGUCUAUAUUUUCUAGAAUAGUGUUUAGUGGUCCUUUUUCCUUUUGUCUACCUUUGUAUUUAUUUUGUUAUCAGUCUGCUCUUGUUUCCUUUCAUUUUUUACUCUCCACUCGCUCAGAGAUCAGCGUUCAGGCUUGUGUUUUUGUGACACCAAUUGAUUUUGAUUUUGAUUAAUCCUUGGCAAUCUGCCCCCAGCCCCUCUCUCUUGUGUGUGUGUGUGUAUCUCUUUUAACUUUUUUUCUGCUGGAAUAUUUGAUUUUCAUGCAAUAACAAGCUUUUUGUUUUGCAGCAAAGGCCUCAUCUUCCAGUACGCCCGAUACCUUCUCAGCUCUGGUGCAAGAAUUUUGGAACAAAAGACUACUAGUCUUGUUGAUAAAGCAACUAUAGUAGUUUGCUGUUUGGUAGAUGAUCACAUCACCUCCUGUAUUUGGAUUCUGAAUGGUGCAUUUCGUGGUUUUUUGCUGUUCGGUAGAUGAUCACAUCGCCUCCUGUAUUUGGAUUCUGAAUUGUGCAUUUCAUGGUUAUUUUUCAUUCGAACCAGUGUGACAUUAUAAUGACAGUGUUCCAUAAAAUAAAAAUGACACUUCCUGCGUGCUUUAUUACAAUGAUGAAAGCCAGCUAGGCAGAUUCUCCUUGUUUUUUUUUUUUUUUUCAAUUUUAUCUUCUGUAUAUGAAGAAAAGCUAAAGCAGUUGCUCUCGACUCCUG